RNAcentral lists this ribosomal RNA (467 nucleotides) under uncultured bacterium. RNAcentral's name for it is "partial 16S ribosomal RNA". It matches the Rfam family "Bacterial small subunit ribosomal RNA", at positions 28 to 507 of the family's 1533-position model. The record is from RNAcentral.
GACGAACGCUGGCGGCGUGCUUAACACAUGCAAGUCGAACGGAAAGGCCCUGCUUUUGUGGGGUGCUCGAGUGGCGAACGGGUGAGUAACACGUGAGUAACCUGCCCUUGACUUUGGGAUAACUUCAGGAAACUGGGGCUAAUACCGGAUAGGAGCUCCUGCCGCAUGGUGGGGUUGGAAAGUUUCGGCGGUUGGGGAUGGACUCGCGGCUUAUCAGCUUGUUGGUGGGGUAGUGGCUUACCAAGGCUUUGACGGGUAGCCGGCCUGAGAGGGUGACCGGCCACAUUGGGACUGAGAUACGGCCCAGACUCCUACGGGAGGCAGCAGUGGGGAAUAUUGCACAAUGGGCGGAAGCCUGAUGCAGCAACGCCGCGUGCGGGAUGACGGCCUUCGGGUUGUAAACCGCUUUCGCCUGUGACGAAGCGUGAGUGACGGUAAUGGGUAAAGAAGCACCGGCUAACUACGUG